RNAcentral lists this ribosomal RNA (460 nucleotides) under uncultured bacterium. RNAcentral describes it as "partial 16S ribosomal RNA". It matches the Rfam family "Bacterial small subunit ribosomal RNA", at positions 338 to 795 of the family's 1533-position model. The record is from RNAcentral.
CCUACGGGUGGCAGCAGUGAGGAAUAUUGGUCAAUGGACGAGAGUCUGAACCAGCCAAGUAGCGUGAAGGAUGACUGCCCUAUGGGUUGUAACCUUCUUUUAUAUGGGAAUAAAAUGUUCCACGUGUGGGAUUUUGUAUGUACCAUAUGAAUAAGGAUCGGCUAACUUCGUGCCAGCAGCCGAGGUAAUACGGAGGAUCCGAGCGUUAUCCGGAUUUAUUGGGUUUAACGGGAGCGUAGGUGGAUUGUUAAGUCAGUUGUGAAAGUUUGCGGCUCAACCGUAAAAUUGCAGUUGAAACUGGCAGUCUUGAGUACAGUAGAGGUGGGCGGAAUUCGUGGUGUAGCGGUGAAAUGCGUAGAUAUCACGAAGAACUCCGAUGGCGAAGGCAGCUCACUGGACUGCAACUGACACUGAGGCUCGAAAGUGUGGGUAGCAAACAGGAUUAGAUACCCUAGUAGUC